Molecule: long non-coding RNA, 646 nt
Filed under: Rattus norvegicus (Norway rat)
Lineage: Eukaryota; Metazoa; Chordata; Mammalia; Rodentia; Muridae
Description: long non-coding RNA NONRATT033977
Source: RNAcentral
AUGUAUAUUAUCUCAAUAAUGAUAAAGGAUUCUCAAUUUCUUUUUAGACAGGGAGAUUUGAAGAAGAAGAAGAAGAAAAAGAAAGGAAAACUGCCUAAGAAUUAUGACCCAAAAGUUACCCCAGAUCCAGAAAGAUGGCUACCAAUGCGAGAGCGCUCUUACUACCGAGGAAGAAAGAAGGGCAAAAAGAAGGACCAGAUCGGAAAAGGAACACAGGGAGCGACCGCAGGAGCCUCCUCUGAGCUGUAAGUUGUGGUCUCAGCAUGCAGUUCAUCUGGAGGCUGACUCAGUGACACCUCCCUGAUGUGCUGUGUGAGAAACAGUCCUCCUUCCUGGACAAGGAUUGCAGCAUGUGAAAGGAAGCAAGCACAGAUUUUAUUGCAAGCACUAAAACUAUGUGAUUAUAGUGUUAAAAAGUAUUGUAGACGCUAUGGGAAUGACCCAGCAAAGGAACUCUUGCCCUGGGUUUAAUUGCUAGUCAGACAAGCCAUGAAACAGCCUGACAAGUAAUUGUAUUUAGUUUAGAAACUAAAGAUAAUGUCUCAUUUAAAUGUACAUUUAAUUUAAUUUAAAUGUGAAUUAUUUCUAUAUGGAAUUAUAAGUCACUUAAAACUGAUUUUCUAAACUUAAAACAUUUGGCAUGUAG